RNA transcript from Juglans microcarpa x Juglans regia, 1484 nucleotides. RefSeq lists it as uncharacterized. NCBI's taxonomy places the organism in Eukaryota, Viridiplantae, Streptophyta, Magnoliopsida, Fagales, Juglandaceae. The record is from RefSeq and is a predicted model, not a curated record. The transcript has 4 exons.
GCCAGAGGUCAAGAACACAGAUAAGGGAUGGGUGUAGUAGAGGCCACUAAGGGUUUAGCUGGAGAUAUUAGGAUCGAGAAGCUUUGGGGCCAGAAAGGAGAGGCUGACCAAAGCAUAUCCGUACAGUCUGAUAUUCAGCUUAACUGAAACAGAACUUACAGCAUUAAUGGAGAUUUGUUCCACCAUAAAUGAAAAAUGGAGGUUCUGCAUAUUUGCAUGCUUCGUAGGCUCCAUCAUCCUGCUUUACUGUCUGAAUCAUGACCAAGACAGCGUAAACCUUUUGGUCUCGGGGAACACUGACAUAUCCACGACAUCAUCCAAUGACUCGGAGCAGCAUUCAGCAGCUGACAUGGCUUUCGCUGCUUCCGGAAACAUUGCCAUAACCAUGACAUCGUCCAACCACUCGAAUCAACAUUCAGCAGCUGACAUGCAGUUCUUGCAACCAUCGAACACAACAGGAAAUGGAACAAACGUAAACGAGAAGGAAGAUAGCUGCAAUAUCUUUGAUGGUAAAUGGACUUAUGACCCAACGACAAGUCCUCUGUAUCAUGGAUCACAUUGUCCAUUUCUUAGUGACCAAGUUUGUUGCCAAAGGAAUGGCAGACCAGAUUUUGAAUACGAAAAUUGGAGCUGACAAGCAAAGAGGUGUCAGAUUCCUAGGCUUAAUGGUACAGAUAUGUUAGAGAGACUUAAAAGGGAAGAGAUUGAUUAUAGUUGGCGAUUCCAUCAACAGAAAUCAAUAUGAGUCUCUUGUUUGCCUUCUUUACUCUGCUAUUCCUUCCUCGCAAGCCGAUGUUUAUAUGAAGGGACGCUCCAUGUUUUUUAGAGCGAAGGUAAGAGAGAACAAUACUUUCUUAUGCAUUUCAGCUGCACCACUGCUGAUUUUAUUUCUUCAUUGAAGUGGCUAUAGGCCUCACUAUAAUUGUCAAUGACCUUAACAACAACAAUACAAUUGUUCUGUGGAGUUCUAUUGGAGCCCUUUUCUAGUGCAAUUGAAACCAAAGCAAGAAAUUGGUGGCCGAAUUCUAAGGAUAGACAAACUUUCUGACUGGGAAAGGAGCUGUCGUGGUGCUAAUAUUAUGCUAUUUAACAGUGGUCAUUGGUGACUUCACCGUGGGAGUUUGGAAAUAUGGGACUUGUUUCAGUAUAAAGGAAAGGUGGUGGAGGAGAUGGAGAUCCAAUCAGCAUUUGGCAAUGAAGACCUGGUCUCGCUGGAUUGAUCGCAACGUAGACAUGACCACUACAAAGGUUUUUUCCCGAAGCUUCUCACCAGCACACCAUGGGAAGGAAUGGUGCCACAAUCAAACCUAACCCAUCAAGGAUGAGUCCUAUGUAGCAAAGUUCCCAAUCCAAUUGAAGAGGUCAUUGAGAAAACAAUUGCACGCAUGAGGACACCAGUGAGGUAUUUGAACAUCACAAAACUAACUCAGUAUCGAAAAGAUGCGCAUACGUCAGUUUACACAAUAAGACAAGGGAAGCAAGUG